UUAUGUUGGUGUGCUCUGGAUGGAAGUGCGCAUUUCAUGGCGGCCGCGCAAAAACGGCACCGGCUAGACAGCCUGGCAGGAAGAAUUUAUCUGAAACUGCCCGGCGACUGACCUGAACUGGUUGGUCUCGUCAGUCUAGUUUUUAUCGGCCGACGAGACCAAUGACUCAGAAACCAAGUUUGCAGUUAUCUGUCUGCACGGAGCGUAAUCAGAAUAUUGAAUCUGUUGUUAAUGGCAACGAUACGAAUAGUGAUAAUUCAGAGACUAAUUAUCCAAUACGUGUUGUGUGUGUUCGAAAACAGGAUCCACGAGUGUCGUCGCUGGGAUCACGUGGAAUGACCAAUCAGACGCUGACAACACAGCAUUCACAGCCAACAAUGGCGGCCGAUACGCAGUCUGUACAUCGAGAAGAAAGCAACAUGUCCUCCAUGACAGAACUUGUAGUGAGGGAUUUACAAGAUGCACUCAGUAAACUUAAAGAUGAGAAGAAAUGAGACAAAAAGGAAUAUGAAGAACAGUUGAAGUACCGGUCAUAAUGCUGUUGUUAUGAUGGAGAUGCAGGAUAUGAUAACUGAACUGCAACGUGAAUUGAAUGCAGCUGCCGCAACCUCCGGAUGGUUAUGGUUCAAACUUACCAAGUCUCGAGCAGGAUUCGGCCAUUAUGUUCACACGGUUGGACUGGGAACGUAACCAGCGUGCUCUUAAGAAAGGCGUGGCAUCUGAGAAGGUACAGAGUGAGGUUUACAACAAUGCAGUGGAUGCGAUGGAGCAGUAUGUUGAUUUGCCGUCACAACGAUUAGUUCAUCUCGUUAAAAAAUAUACGCACCAUGUACAGAUGAAACAAAUAGAAG
Saccoglossus kowalevskii is the source of this 851-nucleotide long non-coding RNA. The record is from RefSeq and is a predicted model, not a curated record. NCBI's taxonomy places the organism in Eukaryota, Metazoa, Hemichordata, Enteropneusta, Harrimaniidae.